Molecule: ribosomal RNA, 1241 nt
Filed under: metagenome
Description: bacterial LSU rRNA
Rfam family: Bacterial large subunit ribosomal RNA
Source: RNAcentral
UGAAUACGAGAUGCUACGGCGUCGAAGCAGUCUAUGUCAUACUUCCAAGAAAAGCUUGCACUGUCAUAGACAAAUAAUGCCUGUACCAUAACCGACACAGGUGGGUAGGUAGAGUAUACUAAGGGGCGCGAGAUAACUCUCUCUAAGGAACUCGGCAAAAUGACUCCGUAACUUCGGGAGAAGGAGUGCCUUAUUUAUAAGGUUGCAAUAACAAGAUCCAAGCAACUGUUUACCAAAAACACAGGUCUCCGCUAAGUCGUAAGACGAUGUAUGGGGGCUGACGCCUGCCCAGUGCCAGAAGGUUAAAGAAGUUGGUUAGCAUCCGCGAAGCUGAUAACUGAAGCCCUGGUGAACGGCGGCCGUAACUAUAACGGUCCUAAGGUAGCGAAAUUCCUUGUCGGGUAAGUUCCGACCCGCACGAAAGGCGUAAUGAUUUGGAUACUGUCUCGGAGAGGGGCUCGGUGAAAUAGACUUGUCUGUGAAGAUGCGGACUACCUGCACCAGGACAGAAAGACCCUAUGAAGCUUUACUGUAACCUGAAAUUGAAAUUGGACUUUACUUGCGCAGUAUAGGUGGGAGGCGUUGAGAAUAUUCUUGCGGGAUUAUUGGAGCCAUCAGUGAGAUACCACUCUUGUAAUGUUAGAUUUCUAACUUUGUAUCAUUAUCUGGUCAAAGAACAGUUUCAGGCGGGCAGUUUGACUGGGGCGGUCGCCUCCUAAACGGUAACGGAGGCGCACAAAGGUUUCCUCUGAACGGGUAGAAAUCGUAUCUAGAGUGUAAAGGCAUAAGGAAGCUUGACUGUGAGACCUACAAGUCGAGCAGGGACGAAAGUCGGUCUUAGUGAUCCGACGGUGCUGAGUGGAAAGGCCGUCACUCAACGGAUAAAAGUUACUCUAGGAUAACAGGCUGAUCUCCCCCAAGAGUUCACAUCGACGGGGAGGUUUGGCACCUCGAUGUCGGCUCAUCGCAUCCUGGGGCGGUAGUACGUCCCAAGGGUUGGGCUGUUCGCCCAUGAAAGCGGUACGCGAGCUGGGUUCAGAACGUCGUGAGACAGUUCGGUCCAUAUCCGGUGUAGGCGUUAGAAUAUUGAGAGGAGCCUUCUUUAGUACGAGAGGACCGAGAAGGACAUACCUCUGGUGUACCGGUUAUCGUGCCAACGGUAAACGCUGGGUAGCUAUGUGUGGAGUGGAUAACCGCUGAAAGCAUCUAAGUGGGAAGCCCACCUCAAGAUAAGUAUUCUC